Molecule: transfer RNA, 74 nt
Filed under: Elusimicrobia bacterium ADurb.Bin231
Lineage: Bacteria; Pseudomonadati; Elusimicrobiota
Description: tRNA-Glu
Rfam family: tRNA
About the family: Transfer RNA (tRNA) molecules are approximately 80 nucleotides in length. Their secondary structure includes four short double-helical elements and three loops (D, anti-codon, and T loops). Further hydrogen bonds mediate the characteristic L-shaped molecular structure. tRNAs have two regions of fundamental functional importance: the anti-codon, which is responsible for specific mRNA codon recognition, and the 3' end, to which the tRNAs corresponding amino acid is attached (by aminoacyl-tRNA synthetases). tRNAs cope with the degeneracy of the genetic code in two manners: having more than one tRNA (with a specific anti-codon) for a particular amino acid; and 'wobble' base-pairing, i.e. permitting non-standard base-pairing at the 3rd anti-codon position.
Source: RNAcentral
UGCCCCUAUAGACUAGCGGUUAGGUCACCACUCUUUCAAGGUGGCAGCAGGAGUUCGACUCUCCUUAGGGGCAA